UUUCUUUUCUUGUUACAUAUCUCAACCUCAGAAAUGACCUCCUCGCAAUUCUCAAGCCUUCCAUCUUCUUCUCCAAGUAAAAAGAAUUGAAAAUUAUUUAUUCACAAAGAACAAACUGGCGGAGGACAUUGCGUGUGGUGCUAGUGAGAAUCACGUGGGCAAUGGGGAUGAUAAUCAUAGCGAAGUUUUCAAUAUCAGCUUAAAGAUCAUUUAGGGGAAGUGAAGCAGAAGAAUGCAUUAGGAGAUGGAAGGGGCAGGAGGGUUCUUCAAGAUAUUGGAAAUUUAGUAACCGAACAAGCCCCACAAGGAAAGACAAAGACAGGCAAAACAGAAACAGCACUCAGUGAGUCAGUAUCCGCCGCCUCUCCUCUUUGUCUCUCCAUCACUCAAAAAACAGAACAACUCGCCCCUUGCAACUAACUUCAAUCCAAGAUCUGAAUUUCGUGCUGUAAUAGUAAUUUGGGUGUGAGAGUUUACAUAAACCUGCUUGCAGAAGUUCUGGUUAAAGAAGGAAAGAAAGAAUGAGUCAACCUAAAAUUAAAUGCUGCGUCGGUAAAUUUGAGGUGGGAAGAACAAUUGGUGAGGGUACAUUUGCAAAAGUGAAGUUUGCAAGAAAUUCUGAGACUGGGGAACCUGUGACUCUUAAUAUCCUUGAUGAAGAGAAAGUUCUCAAGCACAAGAUGGUUGAACAGAUCAACCAGGAUAUUUCCACAAUGAAGUUGAUAAAGCAUCCCAACGUCGUUCAAUUAUAUGAGGUACCCACCCUUUAUCACGUGUUUGGUCUGGUUGUUGCUCUUUUAAUUUUAUCAAGUCCUGAUUAGAACCUUAUAGAAAAUCAGUUGAGUUAUGAAUUUCAUUUGCAAAGAGUUUGGUUAAUAAUUUUGUUUGUUUUCAGGUGAUUGGAAGCAAGACAAAGAUUAUAGGGGGCACAGAGUUUUGAGCUUAUUUGAAGGUUGAGGUGGGUUAGUUUUUGGCUUGUUUUCAUUUAGAGUCAUGGCAGUUUGCUGUGAUCUUGAAGUGGAUGUCAAUGGGGAAGAGACUUUGAAAAAGCGAGGUGGGGCAAGGGUUUCAUCCACUGACUUCUGUUCUUUUCCUCUGGCUACUAUUGUCAUCACAAUUUUCGCGAGGUGAUAGACAAGGCGUUUUUCGUGUCUUUUCUUCCAUUUAGUGCUGUUGUUAUGAGGCUUAGAUGUUCAUACCUCUUCAUUUGCUCUAUUCAGAUCUUUUGAGAAGGACUAAAAGUUGCUUUUAUUUCACAUAAAUUUUACCCUUCUUUGCUGAUUAUGCAGCUCACGUUCUCUGUCAAAAAAAGCAAAUGAAGCUGACUUAGUGGAGCAGUGGAAUGACUCAAGUGAUGCUACACUAGCAGCAAGAACAUGUUGGAGAGAUUGAGAUCUGCUCACGCUGUCUUUUAGCUGAAUUCAUACAUUUGUUGAUCAAAGAGGUGGAAUCAGCAAGCUUUUCAGAGAUAUCUGAUGUGGAGACAUUUGUUAGAUGGCAAGAUGGGGAGUUAUCGUCCUUGAUUGAUGAAAGGGCAGUGUUGAAGCACUUCCCACAAUGGCCAGAACAAAAAGUAGGUGCUUUAAGAGAAGCUGCUUUCAUCAUUUGAGGACAACCACAAAGAGUCUUUGGCUUAGGCAACAAGAAGGUUGCAAGCAUUGCAAGACAGGGGAGCAUGUAUAAGCUGAAUUACUAAAACGUAGUGAUGAAAUUUGAUAGUAUAAAUUAAUAUUAUUGCAUGAAUAAAUAUGAAACUUGCAAGUUGGCGCAAAUUGUUAACAACACAGAAAGAACGAGAGAAAGUAGCAGUAAAAGAUACAGGGAUUUUCAGAUCCCAUGGGAAUGGAUGUUUGAUACAGGACUCAUUGGCUAGGUCCAUUAACGAAUGUUUGCAACAACUGUUACUUCAAGGAGUUGGAUUUGCCAAUAAAGUACACCAGUUUGCAGGUGGGUUUGACACAAAGAUCAUAAAUGCAUUUGAAGAGCUAAAGAAAGUGUUUGAAUUUUCUAAUGCUCUCCUUGCAUUUAGGUUUUGGGGAUUUCGAAUGUUGAAUUAGUAGGUCAUCAAUCUUAGAUGAUUUGUAUAGACAUCCACUACCAUUGUACCAAACAUUAUAUACCGAGUUACAGCAAUAAAAAGUUUGACAUGUCUUAGCUUCAA
Pistacia vera is the source of this 2161-nucleotide long non-coding RNA. RefSeq lists it as uncharacterized. NCBI's taxonomy places the organism in Eukaryota, Viridiplantae, Streptophyta, Magnoliopsida, Sapindales, Anacardiaceae. The record is from RefSeq and is a predicted model, not a curated record. The transcript is spliced from 10 exons.